GGUGAGUAACGCGUAGGUAACCUGCCUAGUAGCGGGGGAUAACUAUUGGAAACGAUAGCUAAUACCGCAUAACAAUGGGUGACACAUGUCAUUUAUUUGAAAGGGGCAAUUGCUCCACUACAAGAUGGACCUGCGUUGUAUUAGCUAGUAGGUGAGGUAACGGCUCACCUAGGCGACGAUACAUAGCCGACCUGAGAGGGUGAUCGGCCACACUGGGACUGAGACACGGCCCAGACUCCUACGGGAGGCAGCAGUAGGGAAUCUUCGGCAAUGGGGGCAACCCUGACCGAGCAACGCCGCGUGAGUGAAGAAGGUUUUCGGAUCGUAAAGCUCUGUUGUAAGUCAAGAACGAGUGUGAGAGUGGAAAGUUCACACUGUGACGGUAGCUUACCAGAAAGGGACGGCUAACUACGUGCCAGCAGCCGCGGUAAUACGUAGGUCCCGAGCGUUGUCCGGAUUUAUUGGGCGUAAAGCGAGCGCAGGCGGUUUGAUAAGUCUGAAGUUAAAGGCUGUGGCUCAACCAUAGUUCGCUUUGGAAACUGUCAAACUUGAGUGCAGAAGGGGAGAGUGGAAUUCCAUGUGUAGCGGUGAAAUGCGUAGAUAUAUGGAGGAACACCGGUGGCGAAAGCGGCUCUCUGGUCUGUAACUGACGCUGAGGCUCGAAAGCGUGGGGAGCGAACAGGAUUAGAUACCCUGGUAGUCCACGCCGUAAACGAUGAGUGCUAGGUGUUGGAUCCUUUCCGGGAUUCAGUGCCGCAGCUAACGCAUUAAGCACUCCGCCUGGGGAGUACGACCGCAAGGUUGAAACUCAAAGGAAUUGACGGGGGCCCGCACAAGCGGUGGAGCAUGUGGUUUAAUUCGAAGCAACGCGAAGAACCUUACCAGGUCUUGACAUCCCGAUGCUAUUUCUAGAGAUAGAAAGUUACUUCGGUACAUCGGUGACAGGUGGUGCAUGGUUGUCGUCAGCUCGUGUCGUGAGAUGUUGGGUUAAGUCCCGCAACGAGCGCAACCCCUAUUGUUAGUUGCCAUCAUUCAGUUGGGCACUCUAGCGAGACUGCCGGUAAUAAACCGGAGGAAGGUGGGGAUGACGUCAAAUCAUCAUGCCCCUUAUGACCUGGGCUACACACGUGCUACAAUGGUUGGUACAACGAGUUGCGAGUCGGUGACGGCAAGCUAAUCUCUUAAAGCCAAUCUCAGUUCGGAUUGUAGGCUGCAACUCGCCUACAU
This 1227-nucleotide ribosomal RNA is filed under the name Streptococcus salivarius. RNAcentral's name for it is "bacterial SSU rRNA". It matches the Rfam family "Bacterial small subunit ribosomal RNA", at positions 105 to 1321 of the family's 1533-position model. Lineage: Bacteria; Bacillati; Bacillota; Bacilli; Lactobacillales; Streptococcaceae. The record is from RNAcentral.